AUUGAACGCUGGCGGCAGGCCUAACACAUGCAAGUCGAGCGGAUGAAGGGAGCUUGCUCCUGGAUUCAGCGGCGGACGGGCGAGUAAUGCCUAGGAAUCUGCCUGGUAGUGGGGGAUAACGUCCGGAAACGGGCGCUAAUACCGCAUACGUCCUGAGGGAGAAAGUGGGGGAUCUUCGGACCUCACGCUAUCAGAUGAGCCUAGGUCGGAUUAGCUAGUUGGUGGGGUAAAGGCCUACCAAGGCGACGAUCCGUAACUGGUCUGAGAGGAUGAUCAGUCACACUGGAACUGAGACACGGUCCAGACUCCUACGGGAGGCAGCAGUGGGGAAUAUUGGACAAAGGGCGAAAGCCUGAUCCAGCCAUGCCGCGUAUGUGAAGAAGGUCUUCGGAUUGUAAAGCACUUUAAGUUGGGAGGAAGGGCAGUAAGUUAAUACCUUGCUGUUUUGACGUUGCCAACAGAAUAAGCACCGGCUAACUUCGUG
This 484-nucleotide ribosomal RNA is filed under the name uncultured bacterium. RNAcentral's name for it is "partial 16S ribosomal RNA". It matches the Rfam family "Bacterial small subunit ribosomal RNA", at positions 30 to 507 of the family's 1533-position model. The record is from RNAcentral.